This 234-nucleotide ribosomal RNA is filed under the name uncultured Actinomycetales bacterium. RNAcentral describes it as "partial 16S ribosomal RNA". It matches the Rfam family "Bacterial small subunit ribosomal RNA", at positions 96 to 334 of the family's 1533-position model. The record is from RNAcentral. Lineage: Bacteria; Bacillati; Actinomycetota; Actinomycetes; Actinomycetales.
UGGCGAGCGGGUGAGUAACACGUGGGUGAUCUGCCCUGCACUUCGGGAUAAGCCUGGGAAACUGGGUCUAAUACCGGAUAGGACGAUGGUUUGGAUGCCAUUGUGGAAAGUUUUUCGGUGUGGGAUGAGCUCGCGGCCUAUCAGCUUGUUGGUUGGGUAAUGGCCUACCAAGGCGUCGACGGGUAGCCGGCCUGAGAGGGUGUACGGCCACAUUGGGACUGAGAUACGGCCCAG